UACGUAGGGUGCGAGCGUUGUCCGGAAUUAUUGGGCGUAAAGAGCUCGUAGGCGGUGUGUCGCGUCGGCCGUGAAAACCUGGGGCUCAACUCUGGCGUGCGGUCGAUACAGGCAUCACUUGAGUUCGGCAGGGGAGACUGGAAUUCCUGGUGUAGCGGUGAAAUGACGCAGAUAUCAGGAAGAACACCGGUGGCGAAGGCGGGUCUCUGGGCCGAUAUUGACGCUGAGGAGCGAAAGCGUGGGGAGCGAACAGG
Molecule: ribosomal RNA, 254 nt
Filed under: uncultured bacterium
Lineage: Bacteria
Description: partial 16S ribosomal RNA
Rfam family: Bacterial small subunit ribosomal RNA
Source: RNAcentral